AAUAGAUGACGCCGUUGUUUUUUUCUCAUAUGUUUAAUCAUUCGUCUUAUUCAAAAAAUUUACGUAAUUAUAAUUUAUUUUGUUAUGAGUUGUUUUAUCACUCAUAGUACUUCAUGUAUGAUUUACAUCUUAUACAUUUGCAUAAAUUUUUUGAAUAAGAUGAAUGGUCAAACAUGUAAAAAAAAGUCAACAGCGUCAUCUAUU
Molecule: microRNA precursor, 204 nt
Filed under: Oryza rufipogon (brownbeard rice)
Lineage: Eukaryota; Viridiplantae; Streptophyta; Magnoliopsida; Poales; Poaceae
Description: MIR812 microRNA precursor family
Rfam family: MIR812 microRNA precursor family
Source: Rfam by way of RNAcentral